UACGUAGGCAGCAAGCGUUGUUCGGAGUUACUGGGCGUAAAGGGUGUGUAGGCGGUUGUUUAAGUUUGGUGUGAAAUCUCCCGGCUCAACUGGGAGGGUGCGCCGAAUACUGAAUGACUAGAGUGCGGGAGAGGAAAGUGGAAUUCCUGGUGUAGCGGUGAAAUGCGUAGAUAUCAGGAAGAACACCCGUGGCUAAGGCGGCUCUCUAGUACGGUACUGACGCUGAGACGCGAAAGCGUGGGAGCGAACAGG
RNAcentral lists this ribosomal RNA (252 nucleotides) under uncultured bacterium. Its description in RNAcentral is "partial 16S ribosomal RNA". It matches the Rfam family "Bacterial small subunit ribosomal RNA", at positions 524 to 776 of the family's 1533-position model. The record is from RNAcentral.